RNAcentral lists this long non-coding RNA (1285 nucleotides) under Macaca mulatta (Rhesus monkey). RNAcentral's name for it is "lncRNA (ENSMMUG00000000258.4)". Lineage: Eukaryota; Metazoa; Chordata; Mammalia; Primates; Cercopithecidae. The record is from RNAcentral.
GGAAGAGGCGGUGGCGGCGGGUCGGGGUGAGAGGCUGAGGGGAUCUGGCGGUGGAGCGCUAGGAUCAGACGCCCCCGCAAUGACCAGCUCCCCCGUCUCCAGAGUCGUGUACAACGGCAAGAGGACCAGCAGCCCCCGCUCCCCACCCAGCAGCAGCGAGAUCUUCACCCCAGCCCACGAGGAGAACGUCCGCUUCAUUUACGAAGCCUGGCAGGGCGUGGAGCGAGACCUGCGAAGCCAGGUGCCGGGCGGCGAGCGGGGUCUGGUGGAGGAGUAUGUGGAGAAGGUCCCUAACCCCAGCCUGAAGACCUUCAAGCCCAUCGACCUGAGUGACCUGAAGCGCCGGAGCACGCAGGAUGCCAAGAAGUCCUAGAGCGCCCAGCGCCCCUCCCCGGCCUCUGGAAGAUCAGGGUGCGAGGUGUCGGCUCCCUCCUGUCCUGUGGCCCUGCUCCUGGGAUGGGGGUGUCUUGCUCCAGCGGGCUGCAGACCGCAGCACCGGUGUGACUGACGGCUGAGGCCUCUCUCUCCUUCCCAAGUCCCCUCCUUCCUCCUUGGGGGUCUCAGGCUGCCCCCAUCAUGGGGGUCUGGGCCCUCCCCACCCUCCUGCCCUCCCCCAGCCACCUGGCUGUGUUUUUGAAGCUGCCUGGCCCCCAGGGACCCUGGCCUGCCCUCUUUCCUCUCCCCUCACCCUCCUGUCCUUGGCCACUGCAGAAUCAGGAGGGGAGCAGAAGGAGCCUCUGCUGCCCCCCAGGCUGCUGGGACUGGGCUGGUUUUGUCCUUGAAAUGGCCAGGAUACAGGACAAGGGCAGCCCCACCCCAUCCAACUUGGGACCCCCCCACAGACCCUUGCUGCUCCUGUGGCCUGGACACGCUGGGGAGCUUCUCACACCUACCCCUACUGUCCAGCCUGGCCCGUUCCCUGAAUCAGCUUCAAGAUGGCACCAGCUCUUUGGGCCUAGGAUACUGCCGGGCCCCCCAAAGGGGGUCCCCAGCAGCCAGGCCUGGCCUCCUGGUAUCUGUGGUCAUAGUGGCCCAUGGGUAGGGGCACCCAGGCUGACCCUGAGGUGCUGCUGCUGGGUCUGUCUUGGCUCUGGGGUAUGCUGGGAGGGUCACCAGGUCCCUUUUUCUUCCUGUGCCCUCUGAAAGCCAAGUGUCUGUGUGGCUGUGGAGCUCCAGGGUCUGUUAAUAAAGGCAGCGGCACUGGGCGUGGCCUCUUGGCAGUCUGUCAGGCCUCUAGCCCUGCAGCACGCAUGCACAGCCAGCUCCUGGGCAGGGCUGGAACCCA